CUUUCACCUCCUUUUCCCCCUCUUUCCGCUCCUCCCUCUCUCUCUCAUUCCCUAGUCUUUUGCACCCUUUCUCUCUGCCUGCUAGUGGAGUCACCAUGACAACGGCCUCCAUGACAAUUACAGCCCAGGCAGCAGUGCCUCUUCCCAUGAGGGACUCCAAUACUCACUUGGAAUUUGCUCCCUGAUUUCAUGGCCCAGGCAGUGAAUUUGCUUCACUCUCCAAGUUUCCACAAGGCCACAGGGAAUAGAUUUGGUAGCCAACCACAGCCCCGAAGAUGGGAGAAAGCAAAGAAGGAAGAAUGAAGCAUGGGAGAGAAUGAAAGAGGAGAGGGGGAACUGAAGCUCUCACCUUCCUCUUCUCUGAUGGAACAGAAAGGACUCCAGCAAAAACAUCUGCUAAGCACCUAAUAUAUACCAAGCUUCAAUCCUGGCUUUGGAUACACAUGGAUGGUUAAUGACUUUGGGAUCUCUUAAUUUAGGAGAACUAUUACCUGGACUUCAUGAACAAAAUCACAGUACUUAAAAGUCACGAAUUAAUUAUCUUCAUCUCUGAUGCCCAGAUGAACAUUACAACUCUGAGUUAUGG
This 586-nucleotide long non-coding RNA is filed under the name Pan troglodytes (chimpanzee). RNAcentral's name for it is "lincRNA". Lineage: Eukaryota; Metazoa; Chordata; Mammalia; Primates; Hominidae. The record is from RNAcentral.